This 69-nucleotide transfer RNA is filed under the name Ombrastacoides huonensis. RNAcentral describes it as "tRNA-Gln". Lineage: Eukaryota; Metazoa; Arthropoda; Malacostraca; Decapoda; Parastacidae. The record is from RNAcentral.
UAUGUGUAGGUGUUUAGUGCAUAAAAAGUUUUGAUCUUUUAGGGGCUGGUGUAAUUCUAGCACAUAUAG